Unclassified non-coding RNA from Macaca mulatta (Rhesus monkey), 148 nucleotides. It matches the Rfam family "Metazoan signal recognition particle RNA". Rfam says of the family: The signal recognition particle (SRP) is a universally conserved ribonucleoprotein. NCBI's taxonomy places the organism in Eukaryota, Metazoa, Chordata, Mammalia, Primates, Cercopithecidae. The record is from Ensembl.
GCCGGGCAUGGUGGCGGGCGCCUGUAAUCCCAGCUACUUGGGAGGCUGAGGCAUGAGAAUUGUUUGAACCCAGGAGGCAGAGGCUGCAGUGAGCCGAGAUCGCGCCACUGCACUCCAGCCUGGGUGACACAGCAAGACUCUGUCUCAA